Molecule: long non-coding RNA, 502 nt
Organism: Trichechus manatus latirostris (Florida manatee)
Lineage: Eukaryota; Metazoa; Chordata; Mammalia; Sirenia; Trichechidae
Exons: 5
Source: RefSeq, a predicted model, not a curated record
GACACCUGACCCACAGACUUGGGACUUGCCAGCCUCUACAGUUGCAUGAGCCAUUUUUUUAGAUCCUCCUGCUGGGCAAUUGGAGAAUCCUCAAAGUGGUGAAGUAGAUGUGGAGGCCGAGGUAAUGUCACCUAUCUUUAUCUGAGACAGAAAUGAUAAUCUGUGUCCUCUUACCUCCUCAUAAUGACUCACUGGAGAUAAUUCAUCUGGACAAGACAGAUGAAGAGGUCUCAUCUGAUGACCAGAUGGCCUCAAGUACAAACAAAAAUGGGAUGUAUUCUGGAAUCAGUCAAUUUCUGAGGAAAUACAUAGAUAAGAGUUGGAGCUUUUUUGCGGACUUUUAUCUGAAGAGUCACCCUGAUUUCUUAAGCUUUCUGUUUAUUGUACGUGAGCAAUACUUCAAUAAAUGCAGAGAGACAUGGGGACCUCAUACCACCAAGAAAGCAGUGCUGGGAGGAGAGCAGGUCCUUUGGGCCUGAGGUUCCUAAGCUGAGAUGCUCCC